Molecule: ribosomal RNA, 251 nt
Filed under: uncultured bacterium
Lineage: Bacteria
Description: partial 16S ribosomal RNA
Rfam family: Bacterial small subunit ribosomal RNA
Source: RNAcentral
ACGGAAGGUCCGGGCGUUAUCCGGAUUUAUUGGGUUUAAAGGGAGCGUAGGCCGUCUUAUAAGCGUGUUGUGAAAUGUCGGGGCUCAACCUGGGCAUUGCAGCGCGAACUGUGAGACUUGAGUGUGCAGGAAGUAGGCGGAAUUCGUCGUGUAGCGGUGAAAUGCUUAGAUAUGACGAAGAACUCCGAUUGCGAAGGCAGCCUGCUGUAGCGCAACUGACGCUGAAGCUCGAAAGCGUGGGUAUCGAACAG